RNAcentral lists this ribosomal RNA (536 nucleotides) under Ralstonia sp. 93. RNAcentral's name for it is "bacterial SSU rRNA". It matches the Rfam family "Bacterial small subunit ribosomal RNA", at positions 36 to 563 of the family's 1533-position model. Lineage: Bacteria; Pseudomonadati; Pseudomonadota; Betaproteobacteria; Burkholderiales; Burkholderiaceae. The record is from RNAcentral.
CUGGCGGCAUGCCUUACACAUGCAAGUCGAACGGCAGCAUGAUCUAGCUGCUAGAUUUAUGGCGAGUGGCGAACGGGUGAGUAAUACAUCGGAACGUGCCCUGUAGUGGGGGAUAACUAGUCGAAAGAUUAGCUAAUACCGCAUACGACCUGAGGGUGAAAGUGGGGGACCGCAAGGCCUCAUGCUAUAGGAGCGGCCGAUGUCUGAUUAGCUAGUUGGUGAGGUAAAGGCUCACCAAGGCGACGAUCAGUAGCUGGUCUGAGAGGACGAUCAGCCACACUGGGGCUGAGACACGGCCCAGACUCCUACGGGAGGCAGCAGUGGGGAAUUUUGGAAAUGGGGGCAACCCUGAUCCAGCAAUGCCGCGUGUGUGAAGAAGGCCUUCGGGUUGUAAAGCACUUUUGUCCGGAAAGAAAUCGCACUUACUAAUAUUAGGUGUGGAUGACGGUACCGGAAGAAUAAGGACCGGCUGACUACGUGCCAGCAGCCGCGGUAAUACGUAGGGUCCAAGCGUUAAUCGGAAUUACUGGGCGUAA